RNAcentral lists this ribosomal RNA (443 nucleotides) under uncultured bacterium. RNAcentral's name for it is "bacterial SSU rRNA". It matches the Rfam family "Bacterial small subunit ribosomal RNA", at positions 74 to 518 of the family's 1533-position model. The record is from RNAcentral.
GCUAUUCAGAUGGCGACCGGCGCACGGGUGAGUAACGCGUAUCCAACCUCCUGCCAGUAGGGAACAGCCCGGCGAAAGUCGGAUUAAUGCCCUAUGUUCUUCAAUGCGGACAUCUAAGUUGAAGGAAAGAUUCAUCGCUGGCAGAGUGGGGAUGCGUCCGAUUAGCUUGCCGGCGGGGUAACGGCCCGACCGGGGCGACGAUCGGUAGGGGUUCUGAGAGGAAGGUCCCCCACACUGGUACUGAGACACGGACCAGACUCCUACGGGAGGCAGCAGUGAGGAAUAUUGGUCAAUGGGCGUAAGCCUGAACCAGCCAAGUAGCGUGCCAGGAUGACGGCCCUACGGGUUGUAAACUGCUUUUAUGCGGGGAUAAAGUGCGGCACGUGUGCCGCUUUGCAGGUACCGCAUGAAUAAGGACCGGCUAAUUCCGUGCCAGCCGCGGC